RNAcentral lists this ribosomal RNA (252 nucleotides) under uncultured bacterium. RNAcentral describes it as "partial 16S ribosomal RNA". It matches the Rfam family "Bacterial small subunit ribosomal RNA", at positions 524 to 776 of the family's 1533-position model. The record is from RNAcentral.
UACAGAGGGGGCAAGCGUUGUUCGGAAUUACUGGGCGUAAAGGGCGCGUAGGCGGCCUGCUAAGUCGAACGUGAAAUCCCCGAGCUCAACUCGGGAACUGCGUCCGAUACUGGUUGGCUUGAAUCCGGGAGAGGGAUGCGGAAUUCCAGGUGUAGCGGUGAAAUGCGUAGAUAUCUGGAGGAACACCGGUGGCGAAGGCGCAUCCUGGACCGGCAUUGACGCUGAGGAGCGAAAGCCAGGGGAGCAAACGGG